GUGGAUAGUAGAUCUCUAUCAUGUUUUUACGCAUCAUUUCGUAUUUCUCUUUUCUUGAAAUCGCUGUCGCGUGGAUUCUUGCAUCUCUCUCUUUCCAUCUGUGUCUUCAUCCGUUAAUAAUCUCGGGUGCUACUUUUUUUUAUCGGGGCGUAUCUUCCGUCAUGACGAACACGAAUUUUUCUAAUCUUCAGACUCAACGAUGCUCAUCAGAAGAGAGUACGAACUGUCGAGGGCUGUCGCGUAUACGAGGAGUCGUAGAAAUUCAACGAUAUUGCUGUCACCACUUCUGUCGCCGUUCUAAGAUGGAUUCUCAAACCAAGAACGAAUAGCUUUUAUUGUUGGACGACGGAAGAAAAUUGUGGCACUUUUCUACGAUCUUUAAUUUACUGACGGAAUAGUUGGCGUAAAAGGAAGACCUGUUGAAGAGAGGAACGGGAAAGAGAGCAACGUUGAAACCGGGACAGUGACCCAGCCGUUGGAAACUCAUAACGACUGGAAAUGGUAGCGGGAGAAAAGAGGGAAAUCUUUCAGAUCCGAUAUUAUGGAAAAGCAACUCGAGGCUCUGAACAUCGAUGAUUCCUUCGAAUCGGAUCAAGAAUCAUCGCGUACUAAAAUAAUCAGGACGUUCAGUUUUCCAUCCAGCCAAGUCCAUUUUUGCAAAACUUCCAAAGAAUUAAAAUUAUCCACGUUGGAUAAGCACUACAGCGAGCAAAUACUAUAUCCGAAUAUUUACGCUAGGGAGCCCGCAUUAUUGGAGAUGCAAACAAAAAGAGCAGAAUGUAUCUUUUAUAACAACAGCAAAGUUCCGGAACAUUUUUGGCAUCCGAGGAUCGAUAAUGUGCCAUCUACAUCCGCACUUACACCUGCAGACGAUCCUGUGGAAUAUAUGGAAAUAGAGAAAUAUCCAGAUUCAACGAAACAUGAUACAACAUCGUUCACACCUAUGUUAGCAGUCGAUCAAACAGAGGUUAUGGAAGUAGAAAAAUUUAUGAAACCUAGGGAUCCUGCAGAAUGUAUGGACCUAUCGAAAUCGAUCUCUAUGGAAUCAUUAUCGUUUGCUGCUGUCCAACAAGCACAUACAAAUAUGUUGAAGUCUGCCUUUGAUUUAGAAUCCAAGCCUUCGGAAACAAACGAAGAUAUUACAAAACUGAUUCCUACGAGACGAAAAUUCAGAAAGACUAGUGAGAUUCAAGAAAAUAAUCUAGAUCAUAUAAAUGAAAACAACGAAGACAAGAAACAGAAAAAUUAUCAGGAUACGAAAAAAAAAAUCCAUUCGAAAAAUGCUUCGCAAUAUUCAAAAAUCAAAACAGCACUUUGCAUCAUAUGUUUUGUAAUAAUUUUAAUAUUCGUAUUCCUGUUAUCUUUGCAUGAAGAUCAGGAUGAUAAGCACAGCAAUACUUUUACGACUGCCAUUGUAGAAUUAAAAAAAGAGAUUUUCGGUCAAGAUCGAGCUGUACAAAUCUUGAUUAAAUAUCUCCAGCAAGAUUCACCUUUUUUAAAGAUAAUAGCUCUCGUCGGUGGUACCGGUGUCGGUAAAUCAUACACGGUGGAAAUUAUAAGAAAGAAUUUUUAUGAAAAAAGUAAUAACCAUUUUUUUUCUUCGCGCGCCGAUUUGUUCAUCUUGGAAAAUUUGAGAGACGAACAUUUGUUAGAUGUUAUAAAAUUUGUAAAAAUGCAUCAAAAGACAUACGACAAUCGAUACGGUACUAUAUUUGUUGUUUUUAAUGUCGAGCAGAUGAACGAUAACUCGACGCGUAGUAUAGAUCUAAAUAAAAGUAUAAACAUAAUGAAAAAUACUUUUGCCAACGCAAAUCUCGACAUUAAAAUUAUUCCUUAUGAAUCCUUGAGCGAGGAUGCUUUAGAAAAAUGCAUUAAAAAAAUUGCGAAAAAUGUUAAAUUAACUCUCUCUCAAGAUCAGAUCGUUCUUAUUAAACGACAAUUGAUAGAAAAUAAUACCGGUUGUAAAGGAGCCUAUGGCAAAAUUCAGGUGAUUGGUAGACAAUAAAGAGAUUAUACGUAA
Molecule: long non-coding RNA, 2020 nt
Organism: Camponotus floridanus (Florida carpenter ant)
Lineage: Eukaryota; Metazoa; Arthropoda; Insecta; Hymenoptera; Formicidae
Exons: 4
Source: RefSeq, a predicted model, not a curated record